RNAcentral lists this ribosomal RNA (112 nucleotides) under Meriones unguiculatus (Mongolian gerbil). Lineage: Eukaryota; Metazoa; Chordata; Mammalia; Rodentia; Muridae. The record is from RNAcentral.
GUAUAUUACCAUACUGCCCCAAAUGCAUCUGAUCUUAUCUGGUCUUGGAAGCACAGCAGGGUCAGGCCUGGUCGGCACUUAGAUAGGAGAACUAGACAGGCAGGAUGAUACU